Non-coding RNA from Mycena galericulata, 96 nucleotides. The record is from the annotation of a GenBank genome assembly. NCBI's taxonomy places the organism in Eukaryota, Fungi, Basidiomycota, Agaricomycetes, Agaricales, Mycenaceae.
UUCGACGUCGUGCACAGCGCACGCCUGCCAGCACUAUCAAAAUAGUCCGCAAGCUUUAGUUAGCAGGUGGUCUGGGUUCGAUUCCCAGCGUCGGAU